AUCAACAUAUGCGGUGCAAAUGGGUACUAAUCCUAUUUACCAUAUUAACAGAUUACGCGCAGUUCCAUUCAAAACUUUUAGGAAGUUCUGCAAUUUAUAUACCGGCUUUAUCCCAGGUGAUAUUUGAUUUUCUCUAAGAUAUCUCUAUCUUUAAAUGUCAUAGACUUUAGAAAAAUCAAGCAAGCCCUGGAACACGAAAGCAGAGACAGCAUACAUAUUGUAUAUGCAAUGGUCAGUUUUUAACAUGGACCCAAAAUUGAUUGUGUGUUAAAGCAAGCAAUGAAAAUGAAUGUUAGCACAAGGAAAAGAAAAGAAAAACAACGAAUAUUAUUUUGCCUAAAUAAAACUGAUGAGUACAUCCAGUUUUAAUUAUUUUAACAGUUUUAAUUAUUUUAGUUGGAUUUAGGUUAUUUUAAUUUUAUGGACUUGUGUAUUGGGCUUGGUCCUAGGUUUGCAGUAUUUUCCUGUAUUUAAACCUAUUUUACAUUGUUAUUUUCAGUUGAUGAAUUUGAUGAAAUAAUAAAGUUGGCUUGCAGCCGUUUUCCUCUCUUCCCCUGUCUCUUCUUCUUCUUCUCCCCUCUUCCCCCUUCUCUUCUUGUUAUUAUUCACCCUACAUCAAAUUGGUAUCAGAGCUAAACUUGAGAAUUUUCACUGCAUACAGAAAAUCUUUCCGGCUGCCUUACUGCCAAAGUCCGAAAUCGUUAUCACCAAAAAAAAAAAAAACUGCCACAAACCAAAUAACCUGCCGUGACUACCAUCACACCGCCUUCUGCAACUGCAA
This 781-nucleotide long non-coding RNA is filed under the name Olea europaea subsp. europaea. Lineage: Eukaryota; Viridiplantae; Streptophyta; Magnoliopsida; Lamiales; Oleaceae. The record is from RNAcentral.